RNAcentral lists this ribosomal RNA (484 nucleotides) under uncultured bacterium. RNAcentral describes it as "partial 16S ribosomal RNA". It matches the Rfam family "Bacterial small subunit ribosomal RNA", at positions 28 to 507 of the family's 1533-position model. The record is from RNAcentral.
AUUGAACGCUGGCGGCAUGCUUUACACAUGCAAGUCGAACGGCAGCGCGGGCUUCGGCCUGGCGGCGAGUGGCGAACGGGUGAGUAAUGCAUCGGAACGUGCCCAGUAGUGGGGGAUAGCCCGGCGAAAGCCGGAUUAAUACCGCAUACGACCUGAGGGUGAAAGCGGGGGACCGAAAGGCCUCGCGCUAUUGGAGCGGCCGAUGUCGGAUUAGCUAGUUGGUGGGGUAAAGGCUUACCAAGGCGACGAUCCGUAGCUGGUCUGAGAGGACGACCAGCCACACUGGGACUGGGACACGGCCCAGACUCCUACGGGAGGCAGCAGUGGGGAAUGUUGGACAAUGGGGGCAAACCUGAUCCAGCCAUGCCGCGUGCGGGAAGAAGGCCUUCGGGUUGUAAACCGCUUUUGUUCGGGAAGAAAUUCUCUGGGCUAAUACCCCGGGGGGAUGACGGUACCGGAAGAAUAAGCACCGGCUAACUACGUG